This 64-nucleotide transfer RNA is filed under the name Cyrestis thyodamas (common map butterfly). Its description in RNAcentral is "tRNA-Ile". Lineage: Eukaryota; Metazoa; Arthropoda; Insecta; Lepidoptera; Nymphalidae. The record is from RNAcentral.
AAUAAAGUGCCUGAAAAAGGAUUAUUCUGAUAGGAUAAAUCAUGUAAAUUAAUUACCUUUAUUA